CCCAGCUGAGCCUCUCAGAGGAGGGAUGUGGGUUUGAAAGACACAAUAAAGACUUUUCAAAGCACUGGAGGUGGUUUGUGUGGUACCUGAAGGUGUCACCAGGCAAGCAGGCUCUGCCUGGCAGGAAUGAAAAUGCCUGAAAUGCUGCCUGGGCCCUUCCAGGGAGCUUGCAAGGCACAGACUUGGAACUAUUUCAGCCCAGGGAUUAAAGAAACAUGCUUUGAAAAAGAGGAAUGAUAAAGAAAAAAAGAGAAAUUAAAUAGAAGGUUGGAUUUUUAUUUUUUUUUUUGGUUGGAGCCUGUUUAAAUUACUGUCAGCAGUGUAAAAUGAUGUAAAAUGGAUCAGAGCUGCCAUCUCAAUUUUUAAUGAGAUCCCAUCUGAAACAGGAAGAUCUCAGGCACGUGGUCCAGCUAAAGGAUGUCAGCAGCUCAGAGCACACUUUGCCAUCAACAUUCUUCACUCCAAUGCCUGAAAUCUCUGGGUUCUGCCUGUGCCACACAUUUGCUACUCCAUGA
RNAcentral lists this long non-coding RNA (515 nucleotides) under Cyanistes caeruleus (blue tit). Its description in RNAcentral is "lncRNA (ENSCCEG00000004418.1)". Lineage: Eukaryota; Metazoa; Chordata; Aves; Passeriformes; Paridae. The record is from RNAcentral.